CUACAAUGAUGUGCUUUUUUAGGACACCUUUGGGUUUACCAUGAAAAUUAGUCAUUUCUGAGCGGC
This is a small nucleolar RNA of Rhinolophus ferrumequinum (greater horseshoe bat), 66 nucleotides long. Its record names the gene SNORD58. It matches the Rfam family "Small nucleolar RNA SNORD58". From Rfam's summary of the family: snoRNA U58 is found in introns 1, 3 and 6 of the ribosomal protein RPL17 gene in humans. U58 is a member of the C/D class of snoRNA which contain C (UGAUGA) and D (CUGA) box motifs. Most of the members of the box C/D family function in directing site-specific 2'-O-methylation of substrate RNAs. The record is from Ensembl. NCBI's taxonomy places the organism in Eukaryota, Metazoa, Chordata, Mammalia, Chiroptera, Rhinolophidae.